UCUGGUGGUGCGUGCCUGUAGUCCCAGCUACUUGGGAGGCUGAGGUGGGAGGAUCGCUUGAGCCUAGGAGUUCUGGGCUGUAGUGUACUAGGCUGAUAGGGUGUCCGCACUAAGUUCGGCAUCAAUAUGGUGACCUCCCGGGAGUGGGGGACCACCAGGUUGCCUAAGGAGGGGUGAACCAGCCCAGGUCGGAAACGGAGCAGGUCAAAAGUCCCUUGCUGAUCAGUAGUGGGAUUGCACCUGUGAAUAGCCACUGCAUUCCAUCCUGAGCAACAUAGAGAGACCCCAUCUCUA
Molecule: unclassified non-coding RNA, 294 nt
Organism: Callithrix jacchus (white-tufted-ear marmoset)
Lineage: Eukaryota; Metazoa; Chordata; Mammalia; Primates; Cebidae
Rfam family: Metazoan signal recognition particle RNA
About the family: The signal recognition particle (SRP) is a universally conserved ribonucleoprotein. It is involved in the co-translational targeting of proteins to membranes.
Source: Ensembl